RNAcentral lists this ribosomal RNA (256 nucleotides) under uncultured bacterium. RNAcentral describes it as "partial 16S ribosomal RNA". It matches the Rfam family "Bacterial small subunit ribosomal RNA", at positions 521 to 776 of the family's 1533-position model. The record is from RNAcentral.
UAAUACGUAGGGUGCAAGCGUUAAUCGGAAUUACUGGGCGUAAAGCGUGCGCAGGCGGUUUUGUAAGACAGAGGUGAAAUCCCCGGGCUCAACCUGGGAACUGCCUUUGUGACUGCAAGGCUGGAGUGCGGCAGAGGGGGAUGGAAUUCCGCGUGUAGCAGUGAAAUGCGUAGAUAUGCGGAGGAACACCGAUGGCGAAGGCAAUCCCCUGGGCCUGCACUGACGCUCAUGCACGAAAGCGUGGGGAGCAAACAGG